RNAcentral lists this ribosomal RNA (307 nucleotides) under uncultured bacterium. RNAcentral describes it as "partial 16S ribosomal RNA". It matches the Rfam family "Bacterial small subunit ribosomal RNA", at positions 506 to 807 of the family's 1533-position model. The record is from RNAcentral.
AGACAGCAGUAGCCACGGUAAUACGGAGGGAGCUAGCGUUGUUCGGAAUUACUGGGCGUAAAGCGCGCGUAGGCGGUUACUCAAGUCAGAGGUGAAAGCCCGGGGCUCAACCCCGGAACUGCCUUUGAAACUAGGUGACUAGAAUCUUGGAGAGGUCAGUGGAAUUCCGAGUGUAGAGGUGAAAUUCGUAGAUAUUCGGAAGAACACCAGUGGCGAAGGCGACUGACUGGACAAGUAUUGACGCUGAGGUGCGAAAGCGUGGGGAGCAAACAGGAUUAGAUACCCCGGUAGUCCCUGUCUCUUAUAC